Molecule: transfer RNA, 83 nt
Filed under: Pirellula sp.
Lineage: Bacteria; Pseudomonadati; Planctomycetota; Planctomycetia; Pirellulales; Pirellulaceae
Also listed under: 2 other names
Description: tRNA-Met
Rfam family: tRNA
About the family: Transfer RNA (tRNA) molecules are approximately 80 nucleotides in length. Their secondary structure includes four short double-helical elements and three loops (D, anti-codon, and T loops). Further hydrogen bonds mediate the characteristic L-shaped molecular structure. tRNAs have two regions of fundamental functional importance: the anti-codon, which is responsible for specific mRNA codon recognition, and the 3' end, to which the tRNAs corresponding amino acid is attached (by aminoacyl-tRNA synthetases). tRNAs cope with the degeneracy of the genetic code in two manners: having more than one tRNA (with a specific anti-codon) for a particular amino acid; and 'wobble' base-pairing, i.e. permitting non-standard base-pairing at the 3rd anti-codon position.
Source: RNAcentral
CGCGGAGUACACUGGAGUCGUAAAGCCGCCAGGGACGGGCUCAUAAUCCGUCGACGCAGGUUCAAGUCCUGUCUCCGCAACCA